CGCUGAACUUAAGCAUAUUAAUAAGCGGAGGAAAAGAAACUAACCAGGAUUCCCCUAGUAACGGCGAGUGAAGCGGGAAGAGCUCAAGCUUAAAAUCUCUGUGCAAGUUUUGCAUGGCGAAUUGUAGUCUAUAGAGGCGUGGUCAGUGCAGGCAUUUGGGGUAAGUUCCUUGGAAGAGGACAGCAUCGAGGGUGAUACUCCCGUUUGUACCUGAGUGCUUUGCGCGUACGACCCGUUUUCUUUGAGUCGCGUUGUUUGGGACUGCAGCGCAAAGUAGGUGGUAAAUUCCAUCUAAAGCUAAAUAUUGGUGCGAGACCGAUAGCGAACAAGUACCGUGAGGGAAAGAUGAAAAGAACUUUGAAAAGAGAGUUAAAGAGUACCUGAAACUGCUGAAAGGGAAGCGAAUCGUAUCCAGUGUCUAUAAUCUCUGGCAUAUUUCAUUGGCGUGCGUGCGCGUGYCGUUUGUUGGAAGUAGCUUGCUGCUCCUCUUUCGGUUCUGCGUGUGUCUGUCGGUGCCCUGUGUCGGAGUGGGACGUCAGAGUCAGUUCGUAUGCUGCGGGAAAUGGUUACUGAGGAGGUAGGUCCGGGGCUUGCUCUAGGCUGUUAUAUCUUGGUGACUAGUGGUCGUGGUUGGGACUGAGGUGCCUACAACGUGCUUUGGGGUCUUUCGGGCUCUUGCGUCUCGUGCCGUUUGGAUAGCUUGCUAUGCUGGUGGCAUUGUGGUGUGAUGGAGUUUGUUAGCAACCCUCGCCGUUCGGGACUUUGACGAAAUGGAGCGAUUCGGCCCGUCUUGAAACACGGACCAAGGAGUCUAACAUGUGUGCAAGUGUUAGGGUGUGGAAACCCCAGCGCGGAAUGAAAGUGAAGGGUAGCGUACGCUGCCUGAGGUAGGAAACCUUUGUUUUCAGAGGUGGCACUAUCGACCGAUCAUGAACCUUCGUGGUGAAAGAUUUGAGUAUGAGCACAUAUGUUGGUACCCGAAAGAUGGUGAACUAUGCCUGAGUAGGGUGAAGCCAGGGGAAACUCUGGUGGAAGCUCGUAGCGAUUCUGACGUGCAAAUCGAUCGUCAAACUUGGGUAUAGGGGCGAAAGACUAAUCGAACCAUCUAGUAGCUGGUUCCCUCCGAAAUUUCCCUCAGGAUAGCAGCAACUUAUUUACGAUAGUUUUAUGAGGUAAAGCGAAUGAUUAGAGGACUGGGGGAAGAAACUUCCUUCACCUAUUCUCAAACUUUAAAUCUGUAAGACCUGCAGGUUUCUUAAUUGAACUUGUGGAUGUGAAUAUCAAGUUGCUAGUGGGCCAUACGGGGUAAGCUCGUCUGGCG
RNAcentral lists this ribosomal RNA (1321 nucleotides) under Globisporangium marsipium. RNAcentral describes it as "eukaryotic LSU rRNA". It matches the Rfam family "Eukaryotic large subunit ribosomal RNA", at positions 26 to 1155 of the family's 3401-position model. Lineage: Eukaryota; Oomycota; Peronosporomycetes; Pythiales; Pythiaceae. The record is from RNAcentral.